CAAUUUCUCAAAUUGGAUUAGAACAACUUGUCCUGUUAUGACCCAAUCCUUUGCAGCGUGAGCACCUGUUCUGCUGCGUCCUUCCUGUCUUAGGUUUCUACGUUUACCAUGUUAACCAACAUGUUGCAUUAGUUUGGUUAGUUUUUCAAAAGCUUAGACAAUGUACGAGAUUUACAAAAUAUUUAUCUAACCUUAUAUUCCCCUGUUGAUGGUAUGCUUGCUACCUUAGGCCUCCCUGAUGGUCUCCGAGUAUAUGGUGGAAGCAUGGAACGGUGUGGGAGCUCUUCGGGUAUGUCUUCUUCUUUGCCAUUUGCUUCAGGGAAUACUGCUCCUUUGUAACUCGCAACCCAUGAGUGUGGUUUGAAAUAAUCAUCAACUAAAGCCUUGUACGAGAGGUUAAUGCUAUUGGCAGCCACCAAAGCAUGACCACAUGGUAUCUUCAGUUUAUCAUAUCUCUUGCAGGUGCACUGCUUCUUUUCUAGAUCAACAAAAUUGCUACCACCUAGCUUCCCAACUACCUCGUAGCUCCAGCUGGUUACCCUCCCAACCUUGCUUCCACUUGAUGUUGUCAA
RNAcentral lists this small RNA (572 nucleotides) under Arabidopsis thaliana (thale cress). RNAcentral's name for it is "ATSL263910". The record is from RNAcentral. Lineage: Eukaryota; Viridiplantae; Streptophyta; Magnoliopsida; Brassicales; Brassicaceae.